CCUACGGGAGGCAGCAGUGGGGAAUAUUGCACAAUGGGCGCAAGCCUGAUGCAGCGACGCCGCGUGAGGGAUGACGGCCUUCGGGUUGUAAACCUCUUUCAGCAGGGACGAAGCGCAAGUGACGGUACCUGCAGAAGAAGCACCGGCCAACUACGUGCCAGCAGCCGCGGUAAUACGUAGGGUGCAAGCGUUGUCCGGAAUUACUGGGCGUAAAGAGCUCGUAGGCGGUUUGUCGCGUCGUCUGUGAAAACCAGCAGCUCAACUGUUGGCUUGCAGGCGAUACGGGCAGACUUGAGUAUUUCAGGGGAGACUGGAAUUCCUGGUGUAGCGGUGAAAUGCGCAGAUAUCAGGAGGAACACCGGUGGCGAAGGCGGGUCUCUGGGAAAUAACUGACGCUGAGGAGCGAAAGCGUGGGUAGCGAACAGGAUUAGAUACCCUGGUAGUCCACGCCGUAAACGGUGGGCGCUAGGUGUGGGUUUCCUUCCACGGGAGUCGUCGUCGUCGCGUACGCAUAGUCGCCCGCCGUCGGGAGGUACGGCCGCGACGGACGUAAACGUUAAAGGUAAGUUAGACGGUCGUUGAGACGNGCGACGGCGACGACGAGGGAGGAGG
This 612-nucleotide ribosomal RNA is filed under the name uncultured bacterium. Its description in RNAcentral is "bacterial SSU rRNA". The stretch from base 1 to 524 matches the Rfam family "Bacterial small subunit ribosomal RNA", at positions 338 to 873 of the family's 1533-position model. The record is from RNAcentral.